CGUCGCCCGGUGCGGUGGCGAGGACCGUGCCCUCCCGCGUCACGGCGACGUGCGCGCCGGACCCGAGUUCGACGAUCGGGUCGGUGCCC
RNAcentral lists this transfer RNA (89 nucleotides) under Agromyces luteolus. RNAcentral describes it as "tRNA-Gly". The record is from RNAcentral. Lineage: Bacteria; Bacillati; Actinomycetota; Actinomycetes; Micrococcales; Microbacteriaceae.